AGCGAACAGUGGAGGUGGUCUCCUCCGAGCGAACAGUGGAGGUGGUGGCGGCCACUGCAGUAGCAGCGUGCCGAGAAGGAUGGCGCCUGCGACGGCGAGGAUGCGGCGGCAGAGCUCAUCGGCCGGCCUGUGCAGCCUCCUCCAUGGAGGCCGAUCAGCGUGGGUCCAAGCUGGUGCAGCCCGUUCCAGUCAAAGGGUGUCAUCCGUUGGGCCGCCUCUCCAUUAUUGCUCCCCGCCAUCCGAGCCGUGGGUGAGCGUCGCCGGCCCACCGCAUUCCUCGCGCGCGCGCAGGCUCUGCGCCCUCUUGGCCCCCUCGCCGCCCCGCCUCUCGCUGCCGCCGGCCCCGACGUGGCGAAGCCAUCGCCGUGCGUCGUGAUCGUCGUCGUCGUCCUCAACAGAGCAGUAGCGUUCGCCGGGGCUCCGCCCUUCACGGUCGCUCGACCUUGCACCCGGCACGGACCUCUGCAUGAGCGGGAGCGCCGAGGGGGAGGUCGACGAGCUUUGCCGAGGCGCCGCCUCUAGAUCCACGAGCGCUGGGCUGCCACGGCCGUUGCCAUUACGGCAUCCGUAGCAACUGCCCCGGCCAACCAGCGCGAGGCCGAGCUCUCCGACCUGGCAUCUGCCACGCCCGCGGCCUCCUUCUUCGUUGCGUUGCGGAAGAAGGAGUCAAAGGAGCAGGCCACGGCGAGGUCACUGGACAGCUUCAGCUUGCUGAUGGAUGAGACGACGGGCGAUCCGCCUGCUUCUCCUCGCAGUCGCCUCCGGCCACGGACGCUGGCGCCAGCUACCGAGCUCAACCUGUCGGCGGCGGCGACGGACCACGCGGGAGUGAAGAACGCAAACCUCUGUAUCGAGCAGACCCCGCAACUUCAACCUCAUUCAACACGAGCUCUUCCAGGUAAAAUGACUACCCUCAGAAAGCUUCCGCUUACUGCAAGUCCUAUGAGAACACCUAGGAGUUCAUUGGUAUCUGCACCAACAACUGCAUUAUUGAAGUAUCUGAGGAGUCGACUUCCAUCUGAUAAGGAAGCACAAGCACCCCGAUAAAAGAUGACGACAUUGUUGCAGCGAGUCAAUCGUCCUCAUCUUCAAAGGAAUUGGACUUGAGCGAUCUUGAGAUGACCAGUGUACCAGCUUCGGCAUAGGAGACAUGCAAUGUAUUUGGCAUACAAAAGAACCUCAAUUUGUCAAGUCUUAUGAUAUCAUCCACUGAUCUUGUGUCUCUAUCCAAACUGUAAGUACUUGAUUUAAGUGACAAUGCUUCAGCACUACCUGAACCUUCUGUAGUUUCUGUGCUACCACAAUUACAGGAGCUCUACCUAAGAUUGGAACUUGGAACAUAUGCCCAGCCUCUAAACUACAACUAUUACAUGAAAGCUUAUCUAUCUCUCUAUCUGUAAGUGAACGGAUAAAACUCCAUGAAUUUCCUUAUGGUUUGCUGGACUUAAAACAACUUCGGAUUCUUGACUUCAGUCAGAAUAACCUCACAACUGUACCUUAAGUAAUUAUUAGGGUUUCUUGGCAAGGGAAGCAGGAAUUUUGAUAGUUUGCAUAAAAUUUCCUAUUGAUUUCCUUAUAAUGGUUUCGAAACUCAAGAUUUUUUAUGUUGUAAUGUUGUAAGCAGCUGUUAGUGGCUCCUUUUCAGUUUCUGCAUGUGCUGACUAAACUGCACUUAAGCAGAGUACAUAGAAUUUUACUGCUCUGAUUGAGCUUGAUCUAUCAGACAACAACAUAACAGCGCUCCCAGCAAAGUUGGUAUUCCCCUCCACCCUUCUUUUUUUUUGAAACUAUCUGCAGAUACUGUUCCAUAGUAGGUGUUCUGGACAACUUCAAACAUCUGAACUCUAUCAUAGCACACACUGAUUGUGAUAAAUAACAUAUACUGGCAUCAAGCGAAAAAUACUUUUCUCACGGUUGCAUGGUUCUCAAUCUCGCUGAAUCUUUUUUCGUGGAUGCUUAGCCUAAGCUGCAAGUGUUGAAAUUUGACAGGAAUCAGCUUCAUUCUUCUAUAGCUGAUGCUGAUAUAAAUGCUCUCCUAGCUACAUACCCUUGCAUAUUUUUGCUGGCAGUUUUUGCAAUGUGCUUUGUGUUGUUGUCUUCCGGAGUUGAUUCUGAAAGCUCCGAUUUUUAACACUUAUAUGGGAGAACAGGAUAAACUUUGAAGCUUUGGAGAAGGGGUAGAUUAUUUCUCAACCUUUUCUCCUGAAUUGUUUGAUUGGUUUGAAUAUAUAAAUGACUAAAUGAUAAUUUGCGUGGACUGAACCACUCUCCGGAACUUAGAAUCAUGAUAUGCACCAUUAUAGCUUAUAGACUGAUAGUUGCAUGUAGGAUUAUUUGUACUAGAAAUCUAGGUUAGUGUGGCUGGCACCAUCUGUAUUUUGGAUCCUUAACCAGUGACACAAUAAUCUGUUAAAUAUAUUUAAUUCUUUGAAUUGUUCAUAUACUGUCAAUUUUCUAACGAAAUUUAUUUUCAAUGCAGCCUGGUCACUUUCAGGGCAAUUCUUAUGACAUAUUAUUUGCUUUCCAGUGGAUCAAUUAGUGAUGAGCAAAGAAAGAAUGUGCUCCACAAUUCAUGUCACAGGUGCAGGUGCAUGUGCAUGUGGGGAAAAAAUAAUUUGAUUCCAGCUACAACAUCUCCGUCUUGUACUUCUGCAGUUCUGCUUGCGCCAAAAACAUCAUCGAUUGACGAUUGUCCCAAGUUGACAUUCAUGCAUCUAUGGGCCCACAGUACGUACGUCUCACAAAGUCGCAGAGAGAUGGAGGAAUUUUUUAUUUUAAUCUUUUUUAAUCUAAUAUUUUAAUAAUAGCCCGUUCAUAUCUAAAUUUCUAAGAACUAGCAUUUUUGGUCGUGCCAAGUCUCGUGGUGCGACUCUCUGAAGGGUCACGCCAUAUGCUUCGGCGCGACCGAGCUGCCACGCUGGCACACACGUGCCAGCAGGUCUGACGUGGCAAGGCUGAGUCGCGUUACAUGCUUUGGCGCGACUGAGUCGCGCCAUGCGCCGUGGCGCGACUCAGCCUAAUAUAGGCCCACCCGACCAGCCUCCUCUUCCUCCUCCUCCCAUUCUUUUUUCCUCCACUCCCCACUCGACCCGACCUCUAUGGCACCGCCCCUCCCUCUCCCCCUCUAGAUCCACUCCAUCCUCCACCCGAUUCGAAGGGGAAACAAAGAGAAACUGAUCCUUGAAGGGCUUGAGUUGAAAUGGGCCCAACAAUUCGCUAGGCUCCUUGGUGCUGCCGGCCGCCGCCACCUACGCCUCCCGUCGCUGCUGGGUCCCGCCGCGGUAGAAGAGAGCGUCUUUUGGUGCACAUGGAUCUUGUUUAUCUAUCAUGCACUACUGUAAUUUGAAUUAUUCUUGUAGUGGACUUGUAAUGUGCACUUUGUGGUCAUGUAUUGGUACUACUAUUAUUAGACGUGUAAUGGACCACACUUUGUGCAAUCGAGUAUAUUGUAAUGUCCUAUCAAACGGGUAAUUUGAUAUCUACAAUUU
This is an RNA transcript of Panicum virgatum (switchgrass), 3488 nucleotides long. It is a transcript of the gene named plant intracellular Ras-group-related LRR protein 6-like, with no coding region annotated. The transcript has 11 exons. NCBI's taxonomy places the organism in Eukaryota, Viridiplantae, Streptophyta, Magnoliopsida, Poales, Poaceae. The record is from RefSeq and is a predicted model, not a curated record.